RNAcentral lists this ribosomal RNA (668 nucleotides) under uncultured Intrasporangiaceae bacterium. RNAcentral's name for it is "bacterial SSU rRNA". It matches the Rfam family "Bacterial small subunit ribosomal RNA", at positions 97 to 779 of the family's 1533-position model. Lineage: Bacteria; Bacillati; Actinomycetota; Actinomycetes; Micrococcales; Intrasporangiaceae. The record is from RNAcentral.
GGCGAACGGGUGAGGAACACGUGAGGAAUCUGCCUUCCACUCUGGGAUAACUCCGGGAAACCGGGGCUAAUACCGGAUACUUUCAACUGGCGGCAUCGCCGGUUGAAGAAAGUUUUUCGGUGGAAGAUGACCUCGCGGCCUAUCAGCUAGUUGGUGAGGUAAUGGCUCACCAAGGCGACGACGGGUAGCCGGCCUGAGAGGGCGACCGGCCACACUGGGACUGAGACACGGCCCAGACUCCUACGGGAGGCAGCAGUGGGGAAUAUUGGGCAAUGGAGGAAACUCUGACCCAGCGACGCCGCGUGAGGGAUGAAGGCCUUCGGGUUGUAAACCUCUUUCAGCAGGGAAUAAGCGAAAGUGAAGGUACCUGCAGAAGAAGCACCGGCUAACUAUGUGCCAGCAGCCGCGGUAAUACAUAGGGUGCAAGCGUUGUCCGGAAUUAUUGGGCGUAAAGAGCUCGUAGGUGGUCGAUCACGUCGGAUGUGAAAAUCUGAGGCUUAACCUCAGACCUGCAUUCGAUACGGGUUGACUAGAGUGUGGUAGGGGAGACUGGAAUUCCUGGUGUAGCGGUGGAAUGCGCAGAUAUCAGGAGGAACACCGAUGGCGAAGGCAGGUCUCUGGGCCAUUACUGACACUGAGGAGCGAAAGCGUGGGGAGCGAACAGGAUU